AUUGAACGCUGGCGGCAUGCCUAACACAUGCAAGUCGAGCGGAUGAAGGGAGCUUGCUCCUGGAUUCAGCGGCGGACGGGUGAGUAAUGCCUAGGAAUCUGCCUGGUAGUGGGGGAUAACGUCCGGAAACGGGCGCUAAUACCGCAUACGUCCUUAGGGAGAAAGUGGGGGAUCUUCGGACCUCACGCUAUCAGAUGAGCCUAGGUCGGAUUAGCUAGUUGGUGGGGUAAAGGCCUACCAAGGCGACGAUCCGUAACUGGUCUGAGAGGAUGAUCAGUCACACUGGAACUGAGACACGGUCCAGACUCCUACGGGAGGCAGCAGUGGGGAAUCUUGGACAAUGGGCGAAAGCCUGAUGCAGCAAUGCCGCGUGUGUGAAGAAGGUCUUCGGAUUGUAAAGCACUGUAAGUAGGGAGGAAGGGCAGUAAGAUAAUACCUUGCUGUUUUGACGGUACCAACAGAAUAAGCACCGGCUAACUUCGUG
Molecule: ribosomal RNA, 484 nt
Filed under: uncultured bacterium
Lineage: Bacteria
Description: partial 16S ribosomal RNA
Rfam family: Bacterial small subunit ribosomal RNA
Source: RNAcentral